UGCCCAGCAACUCCUAUCCCUACCUCCACGCAGUACCGGCCGGAAACUAUGAGCAACCUUAGGGAAGAUCGGGUAACCAACCCCGGUGGGACCUUUGGUCGUAGGCUGACAGGGAAGG
Aedes albopictus (Asian tiger mosquito) is the source of this 118-nucleotide non-coding RNA. NCBI's taxonomy places the organism in Eukaryota, Metazoa, Arthropoda, Insecta, Diptera, Culicidae. The record is from Rfam.